ACGGCUCAGUAACACGUGGACAACCUACCCUCAGCACGGGGAUAAACCCGGGAAACUGGGUAUAAUACCCGAUAGUUCUGGGAUGCUGGAAUGCUCCCAGGACGAAAGCUCCGGCGACUGAGGAUGGGUCUGCGGCCUAUCAGGUAGUAGUGGGUGUAACGUACCUACUAGCCUACGACGGGUACGGGUUGUGAGAGCAAGAGCCCGGAGAUGGAUUCUGAGACACGAAUCCAGGCCCUACGGGGUGCAGCAGGCGCGAAAACUUUACAAUGCUGGCAACAGCGAUAAGGGGACCUCGAGUGCCAGGAUACAAUCUUGGCUGUCGUGAUGCCUAAAAGCAUUGCAUAGCAAGGGCCGGGCAAGACCGGUGCCAGCCGCCGCGGUAACACCGGCGGCUCGAGUGGUAACCGCUAUUAUUGGGUCUAAAGGGUCUGUAGCCGGCCGGAUAAGUCUUUUGGGAAAUCCAGCUGCUCAACAGUUGGGCUUUCAGAAGAUACUGUUCGGCUCGAGGCCUGGAGAGGUGAGAGGUACUUCAGGGGUAGGGGUGAAAUCUUGUAAUCCUUGAAGGACCACCAGUGGCGAAGGCGUCUCACCAGAACGGACCUGACGGCAAGGGACGAAAGCUAGGGGCACGAACCGGAUUAGAUACCCGGGUAGUCCUAGCCGUAAACGAUACUCGCUAGGUGUCAGCCACGGUGCGACCGUGGUUGGUGCCGUAGGGAAGCCGUGAAGCGAGCCACCUGGGAAGUACGGCCGCAAGCUGAAACUAAAGGAAUUUGGCGGGGGGAGCAC
RNAcentral lists this ribosomal RNA (792 nucleotides) under uncultured Methanotrichaceae archaeon. RNAcentral describes it as "bacterial SSU rRNA". It matches the Rfam family "Archaeal small subunit ribosomal RNA", at positions 85 to 879 of the family's 1478-position model. Lineage: Archaea; Methanobacteriati; Methanobacteriota; Methanomicrobia; Methanotrichales; Methanotrichaceae. The record is from RNAcentral.